GUUAGCACCACGGAAUGCUUUCUAACUACCUGUUAAGCAGUAGCCAAAACCCAGGCAACUGUUUUGAAUUUGUCAUGGGUGUUUGGUCCAAGGAGCAACUGUUAUAUGGAGUGGAGUCUAAAGGGCAGGGGAGGCAGAAGUGAGGAGCAUUUGAGAAGAUAAGAAGUUAAAAAAACAUCUAUGGCCAAGUUUGUGUGUGUGUGUGUGUGUGUGUGUGUGUGUGUGUGUAUUUAUGAUUCCAUUUGUGUGACUCAUUUCCCUCCAUGACCAAAUACAGUAUUAGCCAUAGGGAAUCCGCUGCCCACUGAGGAAUUUAAAUGAAUAUGCCCGAGAGUUGGUUUGGCAAAUUUUAAGAGCGAACUUGUCUGGUAUUAGAAUGUGUGCCUCAUCCCUUCUUGGGAAUGGGAGUCAGUCCUGCGGUUUUCAUUUUUAGAUGAAGAAAUCGGAGCCCAGAAAGAUCCAGUUCAUUUGUCCACUGAGUAGCUGUUGCAUACCUGCAAACUUCCAGGAGCUUUCCCAGGCGUGUUCGGACAGCUCUGUCUUCCCCGUCAUCUGUUCUCCCAGUUCAGCAGCCAAGUUCCCAGUCCCCAGUCCCAGAACCUCAUGAUCCGCUCCUUCGGCAGCGCGCUCGUGUUGAUUUCCUUGUUCUUCUUCUGGGUGUCCGUGCAACCACAGCUAUGAGUGGCAGCUCAGUCUACUUUCCUGCUCCAGAGCUUCCCAGCCUCGCUGGGGGAAGUUAAGGAAGGCCGAUUGGUGUCCUUGCAAAUUCUCCCCCAUCUGAGGCCCUUCUGCUGCUCAGGAAUCUUCUUGUGCAUCUUGCGUGGACUAUCUGUCGAGUGUUCCUUCCAUUCUUUUCCCCGCCCCCCAGGAGCUCUGCACCCAGGCCUCACCCGGCACCACGUGGACGGCUCAACUUUCCUGAUGGAGGAGUCUACAUCCUGUGCCUUCCCAUUCGUACCUUCCAUUCCUUCCUUUCCCAUUGUAUUCCUUCCAUCCCGACACCUGGAUCCCACCCCCAGCCCUCCGUGGAGGUCAUCCCUGUUAAUGUCACCCAGAGAUCCCAGGUGAUGGUGCCAAUACAAAGUCUUUCCCUCUGUCGGCAUUUAAAAUGACUGAUCACCUCUUCUGGCUCAGACCGCUACAUUCUUUCUUUAGGGGACCCCACUGAGCCCUGGUUCAGCUCCUUCAUGGUUACUGCACCACGUCCACUGACUGCCCUCCUGAUGGCCAAGAACUGUUGCUUAUUCAUUUUGGGGACUAAACAUUUUACAAAGUGGUCCAUAGAGAUCUUGCAUUAGAAUCACCCAUGAGACUGGUUAAACAUCGAUUCCCCCAAGGCCCACCCUUGAAUUGCUGAAUCAGUUUCCUGUGGAGUGAACCCUUCCGGGUAAUUCUUGUGUAUAUGAACGUUUGAGAAUACAGUUACAGUAUCCAACAACUAUUUGAUGAAUAAAGACAUGAUGAAAAGUACUGAGCUCA
This 1479-nucleotide long non-coding RNA is filed under the name Ursus maritimus (polar bear). Its description in RNAcentral is "lncRNA (ENSUMAG00000018037.1)". The record is from RNAcentral. Lineage: Eukaryota; Metazoa; Chordata; Mammalia; Carnivora; Ursidae.